GGAAAUCAUACUUGUUCCUUUUUUUUUUCAUUUAGCGUUUUCUCCAGUACAUUUGCAGGUUCUUUAACUUCUGCAAUGUAGACAUUUGUUUCUUAGCAUUAUUAAGUUUAGUCAAAAUGUCUUUGAUAAAAUGAUAUUUUAAACUUUUUAUUCAAAAUAGGAAUGUGAAACUGUUGGCUCAGAUGUAGGCCUCUAUGAAAGUUUGCUUCCUAUGUAUCUUGUUUUCCUUUCUACAUGCUUGCUUGUUUCCUACAUCAUAAUAUUCUUCUGGAAAUCCAAUUUUUGUUCUUCACAACUCGAAAGGGUCCAGCUUGCAAUGAAGAAUACCCCCACCACCACCACAACUAGAGAAAGUCCACUCCCUGGAAGACCCAGCAUAGGCAAAAAUAAAUAAUAAUUUUAAAAAAUUAGAAAAGGAAGUACUACAGACACAGUGAGCUUCUGGUUUGUUCAUCCCUGUAUCCCUGGGGCCUGAACAGAUCCUGCUACAUAAUAGGCACUUGGUAAAUAUUUGUUAUCUCUGGAGGUGAAUGAGGACCUUUAAGGAUAGUAGAGUAAAAAAGAAGUCCAAGGACAAAAAGAAGAAAGUAUGUCAGGGGAUACUUGUUAGAAACCAAGAAGGUGUAGUGCAAAGGAAGCCAUGAGGGGAGUUUUUUUGUUCAUGUUUGUGCACACGUGUGCUAAGUCACUUCAGUCAAGUCCGACUCUGCAACCCUAUGGACUGCUACCUGCCACUCUCCUCUGUCUUUGGGAUUCUCCAGUGCUGGAGAAGACCCUUGAGAGUCCCUUGGACAGCAAGAUCAAACCAGUCAAUCCUAAAGGAAAUCAACCGUGAAUAUUAACUGGAAGGACUAUGCUGAAGCUCCAAUAUUUUGGCCACCUGAUGUGAAGAGCUUACUCAUUGGAAAAGACCUUGAUGCUAGGAAAGAUUAAGGGCAGGAGGGAAAGGGGGUAACAGAAGAUGAGAUAGUUGGAUGGCAUCACCAACUCAAUGGACAUGAGUUUGAGAAACUCCAGGAGAUGGUGAAGGACAGGGAAGCCUGGCAUACUGCAGUUCAUAGAAUUGCAAGUAGUCAGAUACAGCUUAGCGACUGAAAAACAAUGGUGACCUCCAAGAGGGCUCACACUAAGGGGCACUUCCUGGGACUGCUGCUGCUAGUGCCCCCAUCCCUGCAGCGAGCCACUGCUGACCCACGACUCCGCAGGAGUUCAUCGAACACUAGAUGGUUGGUCUGGUUCAGUCUCCUGUGGGGUCACUGCUCCUUUCCUCUCAGUCCUGGCGCACACAAGAUUUUGUUUGUGCCCUCCAAGUGUGAAGUCUCUAUUUCUCUCAGUCCUAUGGAAGUCCUGCAAUCAAAUCCUGUUGGCCUUCACAGUCAGAAUCCCUGGGGAUUCCUAGUCCCUUUGCUGGAUCCCCAGGCUAGGACACUCAGAACCAUCACAAGAGUGGGAGAACUUCUUUGAUAUUAGUGUUCUCCAGUUUGUGGGUUGCCUGCUAGGCGGGUAUGGGAUUUAACUUUAUCGUGAUUGUGCCCUCCCCCCACCAUCUCGUUGUAGCUUCUCCUUUGUCUUUAGAUGUGGGAUAUCUUUUUUUGGUGGGUUCCAGCAUCCUCCUGUCCAUGGUUGUUCAAAAGCUAGUUGGUGCUCUCACAGGAGAUGGGCACAUGUCCUUGUACCCUGCCAUCUUGAACCAGUCAACCCUGAAGACAAGACUAUAAGUGAGUGAUUAUAAACAGUGAUUGCAGAAACUGAUUCAUGAUGGAGUUUAAGAAGUAGCCAAAAAUGUCAAGAGUUGCAGAGAAGGGAAUAAGAACUGAGAAGAGAUGGUGUUCAUCUAGUGAUAUUUAUAGAAGCAGUUCAUGAAUAAGAACCUUGGAAUUCUUUCAUCUAUUUUAUGGGUCAACUUUGUAACUGAAUUUUAAGGACCAAAGGUACAUCCAAUCCAGCUGGUGGGAUGUUAUUGUUCACUUAGUCCUGACCUCUGGAUGUAAAGUGCCUAUUCUAGUUCUCAUCUACCUGUGAUUCCUCAUGGUCUUGCAAUCUAAGGACUAAAUGGUA
Molecule: long non-coding RNA, 2058 nt
Organism: Bos taurus (domestic cattle)
Lineage: Eukaryota; Metazoa; Chordata; Mammalia; Artiodactyla; Bovidae
Source: Ensembl